CCCAUGAAAAGGUGUUGGGUUGCUAUAGACAGCAGGACGGUGGCCAUGGAAGUCGGAAUCCGCUAAGGAGUGUGUAACAACUCACCUGCCGAAGCAACUAGCCCUGAAAAUGGAUGGCGCUUCAGCGUCGACCCCAUACCCGUCCGCCGCGGCGGAGAUGCGAUCGCAUUAUGCCGCGGUGAGUAGGAGGGCGCGGGGGCGCGCGUGGAAGGUGCCGGGCGUAAGCCCGCCUGGAGCCGCCCCCGGUGCAGAUCUUGGUGGUAGUAGCAAAUACUCAAGUGAGAACCUUGAGGACUGAGGUGGAGAAGGGUUCCAUGUGAACAGCAGUUGAACAUGGGUCAGUCGGUCCUAAGGGAUGUCCGAAAGGAUUUCCGAAGGGGGACUUUAUGUAGGUGGGUCCCGCCCAUGACCGAAAGGGAAUCGGGUUAAUAUUCCCGAACCCGGACACGGAGAUCGGCCCCCUCGGGGGCACGUGCGGUAACGCAAACGACCUCGGAGACGUCGACGGGGGUCCCGGGAAGAGUUGUCUUUUCUUUGUAAGGGCUCGGUUCCCUGGAAUCGGCUCGCCCGGAGAUAGGGAUGCUGAGCCCGUAAAGCACCGCGCCUCUUGCGGUGUCCGGAGCGCUCCCGUCGGCCCUUGAAAAUCCGAGCGAGAGUUGGUGAUUUUCGUGCCGGACCGUACCCAUAUCCGCAGCA
RNAcentral lists this ribosomal RNA (696 nucleotides) under Algidia sp. MCZ IZ 135537. RNAcentral's name for it is "eukaryotic LSU rRNA". It matches the Rfam family "Eukaryotic large subunit ribosomal RNA", at positions 1210 to 1861 of the family's 3401-position model. Lineage: Eukaryota; Metazoa; Arthropoda; Arachnida; Opiliones; Triaenonychidae. The record is from RNAcentral.